GGAUGCACAACUGGUGGCUUGGGGUGGAAUGGAGGAUGCACAAAUGGAGGCUUGGGAUGGAACGGAGGAUGCACAAAUGGAGGCUUGGGGUGGAACGGAGGAUGCACAAAUGGAGGCUUGGGAUGGAACGGAGGAUGCACAAUGGGAGGCUUGGGAGUGAAAGGUGGCUUAACUAUGGGAGGUUUCGGUGGUGGCUUUAUAAUGGGAGGUUUUGGAGUGAAAGGUGGCUUAACUACGGGAGGUUUCGGUGGCGGCUUUACAAUGGGAGGCUUGGGAGUGAAAGGUGGCUUAACUAUUGGAGGUUUCGGUGGUGGCUUUACAAUAGGAGGUAGCACACGUGGUGGCGGUUUUACGACGGGAGGUUUGGGGGAGGGAUAGUGUGGUGGCUUAACUACGGGAGGUUUCGGUGGCGGCUUAACUACGGGAGGUUUCGGUGGCGGCUUUACAAUGGGAGGCUUGGGAAUGAAAGGUGGCUUAACUAUUGGAGGUUUCGGUGGCGGCUUUACAAUAGGAGGUAGCACAUGUGGUGGCGGUUUUACGACGGGAGGUUUGGGUGAGGGAUAGUAGGGUGGCUUUACAAUUGGGGGGUGUUUUGGUGGAAAUUUGGGUGGAAGGGGGGGAGGAAUUGGGUAUGGGCAGUAAGGACAUGCUAGAGAAAUAAGCAAUGUCCCCAAGUUGAGAAGUGCUACGAUU
Molecule: long non-coding RNA, 693 nt
Filed under: Olea europaea (common olive)
Lineage: Eukaryota; Viridiplantae; Streptophyta; Magnoliopsida; Lamiales; Oleaceae
Description: long non-coding RNA (OEUR_LNC007883)
Source: RNAcentral